ACACAUGCAAGUCGAGCGGAAACGACAUUAACAAUCCUUCGGGUGCGUUAAUGGGCGUCGAGCGGCGGACGGGUGAGUAAUGCCUAGGAAAUUGCCUUGAUGUGGGGGAUAACCAUUGGAAACGAUGGCUAAUACCGCAUAAUGCCUACGGGCCAAAGAGGGGGAUCUUCGGACCUCUCGCGUCAAGAUAUGCCUAGGUGGGAUUAGCUAGUUGGUGAGGUAAUGGCUCACCAAGGCGACGAUCCCUAGCUGGUCUGAGAGGAUGAUCAGCCACACUGGAACUGAGACACGGUCCAGACUCCUACGGGAGGCAGCAGUGGGGAAUAUUGCACAAUGGGCGGAAGCCUGAUGCAGCCAUGCCGCGUGUAUGAAGAAGGCCUUCAGGUUGUAAAGUACUUUCAGUU
Molecule: ribosomal RNA, 404 nt
Filed under: uncultured Vibrio sp.
Lineage: Bacteria; Pseudomonadati; Pseudomonadota; Gammaproteobacteria; Vibrionales; Vibrionaceae
Description: bacterial SSU rRNA
Rfam family: Bacterial small subunit ribosomal RNA
Source: RNAcentral